GGCGAGUGGGCAGGCUGGCUAUGCAGCGGAUUGCAAAUCCGUGGAGACCGGUUCGAUUCCGGUACUCGCCU
RNAcentral lists this transfer RNA (71 nucleotides) under Ketogulonicigenium robustum. It matches the Rfam family "tRNA". Rfam says of the family: Transfer RNA (tRNA) molecules are approximately 80 nucleotides in length. Lineage: Bacteria; Pseudomonadati; Pseudomonadota; Alphaproteobacteria; Rhodobacterales; Roseobacteraceae. The record is from Rfam by way of RNAcentral. RNAcentral also lists the same sequence under 1 other name.